AGACAAGGUUCAUAUUUGUAUGGGUUACUUAUUCUCUCUUUGUUGACUAAGUCAAUAAUCAGAAUCAGCAGGUUUGGAGUCAGAUUGGCAGGGAUAAGCAGCCUAGCUCAGGAGAAGUGGGUAUAAAAGCCCCAGGCUGGGAGCAGCCAUCACAGAAGUCCACUCGUUCUUGGCAGGAUGGCUUCUCAUCGUCUGCUCCUCCUCUGCCUCGCUGGACUGGUAUUUGUGUCUGAGGCUGGUCCUACGGGCGUUGAUGAAUCCAAGUGUCCUCUGAUGGUCAAAGUUCUAGAUGCCGUCCGAGGCAGUCCUGCCGUCAACGUGGCUGUGAACGUGUUCAAAAAGGCUGCUGAUGAGACCUGGGCGCCAUUUGCCUCUGGGAAAACCAGUGAGUCUGGAGAGCUGCAUGGGCUCACAACUGAGAAGGAAUUUGUAGAAGGGAUAUACAAAGUGGAAAUAGACACCAAAUCUUACUGGAAGUCACUUGGCAUCUCCCCAUUCCAUGAGCAUGCAGAGGUGGUAUUCACAGCCAACGACUCCGGCCCCCGCCACUACACCAUCGCCGCCCUGCUGAGCCCCUACUCCUAUUCCACCACGGCUGUCGUCACCAAUCCCAAGGAAUGAGGGACUUCUCCAGAGGAUCUGAAGGACGAGGGAUGGGAUUUCAUGUAACCAAGAGUAUUCCAUUUUUACUAAAGCAGUGUUUUCACCUCAUAAGCUAUGUUAGGAGUCCAGGCAGAGACAAUAAAACAAUUACCUCUUCCAAAGGCUCUCUUUUGCCAC
Mandrillus leucophaeus (drill) is the source of this 780-nucleotide RNA transcript. It is a transcript of the gene named transthyretin, with no coding region annotated. Lineage: Eukaryota; Metazoa; Chordata; Mammalia; Primates; Cercopithecidae. The transcript has 5 exons. The record is from RefSeq and is a predicted model, not a curated record.